GAUGAACGCUGGCGGCGUGCCUAAUACAUGCAAGUCGAACGAAACUUCUUUAUCACCGAGUGCUUGCACUCACCGAUAAAGAGUUGAGUGGCGAACGGGUGAGUAACACGUGGGCAACCUGCCCCAAAGAGGGGGAUAACACUUGGAAACAGGUGCUAAUACCGCAUAACCAUAGUUACCGCAUGGUAACUAUGUAAAAGGUGGCUAUACUACCGCUUUUGGAUGGGCCCGCGGCGCAUUAGCUAGUUGGUAGGGUAAAGGCUUACCAAGGCAAUGAUGCGUAGCCGAAUUGAGAGGUUGAUCGGCCACAUUGGGACUGAGACACGGCCCAAACUCCUACGGGAGGCAGCAGUAGGGAAUCUUCCACAAUGGGCGAAAGCCGGAUGGCGCCACGCCGAGUGGGUGAAGAAGGUCUUCGGAUCGUAAAACCCAGCUGUUAGAGAGUAAAGUGAGUAAGAGUAACUGUUAACGGCUAGACGGUAACUAACCGGAAGGCCACGAUUAACUACGUG
RNAcentral lists this ribosomal RNA (512 nucleotides) under uncultured bacterium. Its description in RNAcentral is "partial 16S ribosomal RNA". It matches the Rfam family "Bacterial small subunit ribosomal RNA", at positions 28 to 507 of the family's 1533-position model. The record is from RNAcentral.